CUGGUCUCCACCCAAGUUCGGGGGGAAAUCGCGGUCUUUUCCUUAUUGCAGUAAAAGUUCGCAGUGAGGAAACAAUACCGUAUCACUCUCGUGAUUAUUUCUCCCCUUUUUCAGGGGCGUAACAGAAACUGGGCUUAUUUAGCAGAAAAACUCCCUUGGAAAUAUGGAACCACGUGAGCAGACAAAGUGGGGAAGGGGGAUAAUGUUUCCAUGAUGAAAUUUUAUCCCUGAAUAAACAGGAUUGACAACUAAAGUCACCUUGUGCAAACCAGAGCCAAAAAUGGAGGGGAUAAUUGUUGUAUUAAUCAAAGAGGGGAAAAAUGACUGAUGUGUUGGGGGUGACUGGUCUGUAAUUUGUCUCUUUAGAGGCUUUGGCUGGGUCCUGAGCUUGAUCCAAAGUUAUGGCCUUUUACCCAGACUACAUUAUUUUUCCACCUGCAAACCGCAAAGGAAAAUCUCCUCUGCUCUGUAUAUUGAUGUCUAGUGAGAAUACCCAGUCGUUCUCACCUGGAACACUGCCAGAAAUGCCUUCCUCCCUAGCUCAUGUACAAUGACAGACUGAUGCUAAAGAAGUAAACCCUCUGAAUAAUUUCCCUAGGAUUAAGAGACCAUGACAGAUCGGUCAUAGAUAAUUCUACACUGUUCAGCAAAAUACUGUAUAUACUUCUACCACUGGAUUUGGCUGUGAAAUAUAUACUGUUGGGGUAAGAACCGCAAUAUGUGCCAAUGCCAUGCAUUAGACAUUUGGAACUUUGAACUAGGGCUGUGGCGGUCAUGAAAUGUUGACUGCUGGUUACUGUCAUGCAAAAGACUGCCGGUCUCAUGGUAACUGCCCGUUAAUAAACAUAAACAUGUAUAGCAUCUCCAGGCCUCCACGCAUACAAACCGCAUACAAAUGCUGACGAUCUGAAAAUUGUCUACCAAUGAUCAACAACCAAUUUGACAGAGCUUGAAGAAUUUUGAAAAGAAUAAUGGACAAAUGUUGCACAAUCCAGGUGUGGAAAGCGCUUAGAGACUUGCCCAGAAAAACUCACAGCUGUAAUAGCUGCCAUAGGUACUUCUACAAAGUAUUCCGGUGUGGCUCAGUUGGUAGAGCAUGGCGUUUGCAACGCCAGGGUUGUGGGUUCGAUUCCCACGGGGGACCAGUACGGAAGAAAAAAAAUGUAUGAAAUGUAUGCAUUCACUACUGGAAGUCGCUCUGGAUAAGAGCGUCUGCUAAAAUGUAAAUGUAAAAAAUGUAUUGACUCGCAGGUGUGAAUAGUUAUGUAAAUUAGAUAUUUUAGUAUUUUAUUUUCAAUAAAUUUGCAAUCAUUUCUAAAACAUGUUUUCACAUUGUCAUUAUGGGGUAUUGUGUGGAGAUGGGUGACAAAAACAAUCUAUUUGAUACCAUUUUUAUUGAG
This 1400-nucleotide long non-coding RNA is filed under the name Salmo salar (Atlantic salmon). Its description in RNAcentral is "lncRNA (ENSSSAG00000121303.1)". The stretch from base 1079 to 1136 matches the Rfam family "tRNA", at positions 8 to 63 of the family's 71-position model. Lineage: Eukaryota; Metazoa; Chordata; Actinopteri; Salmoniformes; Salmonidae. The record is from RNAcentral.